AUGUUUUCUGUAGCUCUGCUGCUGCUGCUGGCAGCUGGAUGUGUGAAGUGUGAACAGUUGACACAGCCAGCCUCUGUGACUGUGCAGCCAGGUCAGAGUCUGACCAUCACCUGUCAGGUCUCUGGUUACUCUCUGACUGAUAACAGCUAUGCAACAGGUUGGAUCAGACAGCGUGAAGGGAAACCGAUGGACUGGAUCUCUAUCAGUGGGGGAAGCUCUGGGAGCUUUUACCAAAAUAAUGCUCUGAAGAACAAGUUCAGCUACAGCAAAGACACGUCUGCUGGAACAGUGACUCUAACAGGACAGAGUCUGCAGCCUGAAGACACUGCUGUGUAUUACUGUGUGAGAGACCCACAGUGAGAGACAAUAACAGGAGAGUCAUAC
This is a non-coding RNA of Labrus bergylta (ballan wrasse), 384 nucleotides long. Lineage: Eukaryota; Metazoa; Chordata; Actinopteri; Labriformes; Labridae. The record is from the annotation of a RefSeq genome assembly.